RNAcentral lists this ribosomal RNA (486 nucleotides) under uncultured bacterium. RNAcentral's name for it is "bacterial SSU rRNA". It matches the Rfam family "Bacterial small subunit ribosomal RNA", at positions 26 to 507 of the family's 1533-position model. The record is from RNAcentral.
AGGACGAACGCUGGCGGGCGUGCUUAAUACAUGCAAGUCGAGCGAGGCCUUGGAAUUGGAGUCCUUCGGGAUGAAGAGUCCUUGGCCUAGCGGCGGACGGGUGAGUAACGCGUGGGCAACCUACCCCAAAGUCCGGGAUAACAGUGGGAAACCGCUGCUAAUACCGGAUGGCUUUACCUGAGGGCAUCCUUGGGUAAAGAAAGGUUACGCUUUGGGAUGGGCCCGCGUCCCAUUAGCUAGUUGGUGAGGUAACGGCUCACCAAGGCGACGAUGGGUAGCCGGCCUGAGAGGGUGAACGGCCACACUGGGACUGAGACACGGCCCAGACUCCUACGGGAGGCAGCAGUGGGGAAUAUUGCACAAUGGGCGAAAGCCUGAUGCAGCGACGCCGCGUGAGGGAUGACGGCCUUCGGGUUGUAAACCUCUUUCAGCAGGGAAGAAGCGAAAGUGACGGUACCUGCAGAAGAAGCACCGGCUAACUACGUG